CGCGUAGGCGGGGAUACAAGUCAGGUGUGAAAUCUAUGGGCUUAACCCAUAAACUGCACUUGAAACUGUAUCUCUUGAGUGUCGGAGAGGUAGACGGAAUUCCUAGUGUAGCGGUGAAAUGCGUAGAUAUUAGGAGGAACACCAGUGGCGAAGGCGACUUACUGGACUAUUACUGACGCUGAGGUACGAAAGCGUGGGGAGCAAACA
This 207-nucleotide ribosomal RNA is filed under the name uncultured bacterium. RNAcentral's name for it is "partial 16S ribosomal RNA". It matches the Rfam family "Bacterial small subunit ribosomal RNA", at positions 568 to 774 of the family's 1533-position model. The record is from RNAcentral.